RNAcentral lists this ribosomal RNA (253 nucleotides) under uncultured bacterium. RNAcentral describes it as "partial 16S ribosomal RNA". It matches the Rfam family "Bacterial small subunit ribosomal RNA", at positions 524 to 776 of the family's 1533-position model. The record is from RNAcentral.
UACGUAGGGUGCGAGCGUUGUCCGGAAUUAUUGGGCGUAAAGGGCUCGUAGGCGGUUUGUCGCGUCGGGAGUGAAAACUCAGGGCUUAACCCUGAGCCUGCUUCCGAUACGGGCAGACUAGAGUACUGCAGGGGAGACUGGAAUUCCUGGUGUAGCGGUGAAAUGCGCAGAUAUCAGGAGGAACACCGGUGGCGAAGGCGGGUCUCUGGGCAGUAACUGACGCUGAGGAGCGAAAGCGUGGGGAGCGAACAGG